Molecule: ribosomal RNA, 253 nt
Filed under: uncultured bacterium
Lineage: Bacteria
Description: partial 16S ribosomal RNA
Rfam family: Bacterial small subunit ribosomal RNA
Source: RNAcentral
UACGGAGGGUGCAAGCGUUGUUCGGAAUCAUUGGGCGUAAAGCGCGUGUAGGCGGCUUGGUAAGUCGGGUGUGAAAUCCCGAGGCCCAACCCCGGAACUGCAUUCGAAACUGCCUCGCUAGAGUCCCGGAGAGGAAGGCGGAAUUCCCGGUGUAGAGGUGAAAUUCGUAGAUAUCGGGAGGAACACCAGCGGCGAAGGCGGCCUUCUGGACGGUGACUGACGCUGAGACGCGAAAGCGUGGGGAGCAAACAGG